This 75-nucleotide transfer RNA is filed under the name Herpetosiphon geysericola. RNAcentral's name for it is "tRNA-Met". It matches the Rfam family "tRNA". From Rfam's summary of the family: Transfer RNA (tRNA) molecules are approximately 80 nucleotides in length. Their secondary structure includes four short double-helical elements and three loops (D, anti-codon, and T loops). Further hydrogen bonds mediate the characteristic L-shaped molecular structure. tRNAs have two regions of fundamental functional importance: the anti-codon, which is responsible for specific mRNA codon recognition, and the 3' end, to which the tRNAs corresponding amino acid is attached (by aminoacyl-tRNA synthetases). tRNAs cope with the degeneracy of the genetic code in two manners: having more than one tRNA (with a specific anti-codon) for a particular amino acid; and 'wobble' base-pairing, i.e. permitting non-standard base-pairing at the 3rd anti-codon position. RNAcentral also lists the same sequence under 6 other names. The record is from RNAcentral. Lineage: Bacteria; Bacillati; Chloroflexota; Chloroflexia; Herpetosiphonales; Herpetosiphonaceae.
CGCGGGGUGGAGCAGUGGUAGCUCGUCGGGCUCAUAACCCGAAGGUCAGAGGUUCGAAUCCUCUCCCCGCAACCA